GGGGGUGAUCGGUUUCGACUCGGGACGGUAGUCCCAGGAGAAGCGGGCCGAGGAUCCAAGGUCAACUCGUAAACGACCCUUGGAAAACAACAAGUGCCAAUUCUAAGCGCACUGACUUCGCUCUUGCUGCCUGAGCAGUAACCGAAGGGUCAGACCGGGAGUGUCUCCGUCCCGGACCCUGGCCUCGUUAAGGGGACUAACCCGCUGAGACUUGUCUCAGGGCUCAGCGGGGACAUCAACUGAGGCUGGGCCUGUCUGCAACAUGCUGAUGUGAGUGCAGGGGCCGAGUAGAACGACAUCAUCAGCUGCGCCCGGAGAAGACCUGGUUCGCUGCUCGAGGACGCGGGUUCGAUUCCCGCCACCUCCACCG
Microlunatus soli is the source of this 370-nucleotide non-coding RNA. It matches the Rfam family "transfer-messenger RNA". Rfam says of the family: Bacterial tmRNA, also known as 10Sa RNA or SsrA, is named for its dual tRNA and mRNA-like properties. Its role is to liberate the mRNA from a stalled ribosome. The record is from Rfam. Lineage: Bacteria; Bacillati; Actinomycetota; Actinomycetes; Propionibacteriales; Propionibacteriaceae.